CAGUCGCCGCGGGAAUACGAAGGGUGCAAGCGUUAAUCGGAAUUACUGGGCGUAAAGCGUGCGUAGGCGGUGAGUUAAGUCUGCUGUGAAAUCCCCGGGCUCAACCUGGGAAUGGCAGUGGAUACUGGCUCGCUAGAGUGUGUCAGAGGAUGGUGGAAUUCCCGGUGUAGCGGUGAAAUGCGUAGAGAUCGGGAGGAACAUCAGUGGCGAAGGCGGCCAUCUGGGACAACACUGACGCUGAGGCACGAAAGCGUGGGAAGCAAACAGGAUUAGAUACCCCUGUAGUCCCUGUCUCUUAUAC
RNAcentral lists this ribosomal RNA (301 nucleotides) under uncultured bacterium. Its description in RNAcentral is "partial 16S ribosomal RNA". It matches the Rfam family "Bacterial small subunit ribosomal RNA", at positions 509 to 807 of the family's 1533-position model. The record is from RNAcentral.